RNAcentral lists this long non-coding RNA (1342 nucleotides) under Strigops habroptila (Kakapo). RNAcentral's name for it is "lncRNA (ENSSHBG00005018815.1)". Lineage: Eukaryota; Metazoa; Chordata; Aves; Psittaciformes; Psittacidae. The record is from RNAcentral.
AUGCAGCAGGACAUCGUGCCGGUUUGAUCUGUGGAAAAGGACAAGCUGCUUUGGUGAGCACACCUCGGACUGGGAGCUGGGCCUACCAGAGCACGUGUCCCAGAGCAGCAUUUUACUGUGCUGCUUGUGCAAAGCAAAGUACAGCACGGGAUGUACCCAACACCACUGGUUUUGGCUGGGAACAGCAGGCAGCCGAAUAAACGGGACAUGUGAGUGGUACUGUUGGUUUGCUGACAGAGCUGAAGUUUAACUGCAGUUUCUGUAUGACAGGAUUCUAAGCCAAUUUAGGAAUAUUUUGGACAGAGGCUUUUGGGCAGGUGAGGAAGCAAUGACUACCAAAGCUGGGCAAGACCAGGUCUAGAAGUAUUGAAAGCAGAAUUCAAGGAAAAAGACCCAAUCACAGAAUGGUUUGGGUUGGAAAGGACCUUAACAUCAUCUAGUUCCAACCCCCUGCCAUAGGCAGGGACACCUCACACUAGACCAUGUUGCCCAAGGCUCUGUCCAGCCUGGCCUUGAACACCGCCAGGGAUCAUAUGAUAUAAUUUUAUCAUAUGAUUUAUAAUUAUAAGCCUGGUACUGUCCUGAAUGAUAAAUGCCUGCUUGAAAAGCUAAGGAACAAAAGGUAAGAGAAAUUCAGAGGGGGCAGGAGGAUGGGGUUCCUUCCCCCUCUCCUCAUGUAUAAACAUGUAGUGAAAGGGAAGUUCAUAUUGAUAAAUUUAAGAAUAUAUAAUUAAAAAAAACCCCAAAACAACAAAAAACAACACAGGCCUUCCCUCCCCAACCAAACACAAACCAAAGUAUUUAUUCUAUUUAUAUUUUGUUACAUAUAUAUAUAUAUUUCUCCUCAGGUAAGAGCUUGAUUGCUCACUGAAGUAGUUUAUGGAAUCUACUUUCUUGUUGGCAGAAAAUAAGAGUUUUAUUUCGCAACCUCACAUGAAUUUAGGAGAGCAUUUAUGAAUGUGCAACACUUUUCUCCACUAAGAACUGGUAGGGGAAGUGCCUAACAAAUUAAAUCGUAUUUUAUCAACAAUCUGCAUAAGGGGGAAUUUACUACAAUUUUUUUCACUGUUCCUUAACUAACACUUUUGCAUGAGGCAGUAAUCAUUUGUGUCGAUCUCCCUGCUUCCAUCACAAGUUCUUCCCUACAGUUACAGACAAAAGUCCACUGCAAGUUCACAGGGCAGGCUGGUCAUCUGCUCACUACAACAAUUACACUGGUCGGAACGUCAUUCUUCAAGCAGAAUUUAUGCAAAGCAUCUUCUCAGAGCUGGGGUCUACAGUUUUUAGGACCAGAGGUCCUGAAAAACGGGCACUUCCAGCAUUUUGUGAGAUGCUUUAUUCA